UUUAAAAAAAUUGAUUAAAUUAAUUUUAUUGAAAAAAUUUCUCCACUUUUCUCUCUUUUCAUUUUUGCCAUCCCUCUCUGUUCUCUUUUCUUUUUCUCUUCUCCUCCAUUGUGCCGCCCCUUUGUUCAUUUUUUCUCUCCCAUUUGAUUUUAUUUUUCUGCUCAUUUUUCCUUCCCCCUAAAAGUCGAACCUUGCUAGUUUUACUGUUAUUGCCGCACAUCAGCAGCCCUUUUUAUCCUCCAUUGCCGCCAUCCAUUACACCACCACAUUUUUGCCAUUGUCACUUUAUUUUACUCUUCGUUUUUCCUGUCAUCGCGGAUCUGAGUAAGUGCAGAAUUUUUCGGUUAAUUUAAUCAAGUCUAAGUAGUUUUUAUUUUAUUCGAUAUUCUGAUAUGGCCGAAUCUGAUGUAUUAUCAUUUUCUUGGUGUUUAAAUGUUCAAGAUCUAGAUCCAAAUCGUAUGGAUCUAUAGCGUUGGGAAGUUGUUUGCAAGCCGUUAUAAGUCAAUUAAGGUAAGUGUUGAAUCUCCACUUCGGAUCUGAAGUUUCAAUUUAAGGUUUGCGGCUUGGUCGAACCCUAUAAGGGCUUUAGGGGGGAUGAUUUUUUAUAAAUAUUUUCUGUUGUGUUCAGAUUUAAGCAAGUUCUAGUCGGAUCUAAGUCCUAAGAGCUGCGGAUUUAAGUAGUACUUCGGGUCUACGCUUAUUAGCUGUUGGUCUUACCAUUGAGUGUUUAAUUGAUUAUUAAAAAUAAUAUUUUGUGCAUGUUAAACCAAUAUACAUGCUGAUUGGUACAUGGCCGAAUGGUCAUUAGUGAGUUUAAAAGUUACCGAUUGAGGUAUGUACUAAAAGGGUAGUGGCCGAUUAUUAAAGGGCUUUAAUUGAGAUUAAGGGUCUGUUUGUUUGCCAGUAAAAUAUUUUCCGGAAAAUAAUUUAUAGAAAAUGAUUUACUUUUCUGGAAAAUGAUUUACUGAAAAUAUUUUCUGGGAAUUUAUGUAAAAUAUUUUCUUUUAUUUGGCAGAUUUCCUGAAAAUAUUUUCCGGGAAAGCUGUUUUUACAUAUAUUAAUAAAUUUUGCAAUGAUUUAUUUAUAAAUAAAUCAAAUUAAAUAUAUAAUAAUACUCAAUUAUUAAGCUAGAAUAUUAACUGUCAUAAAUUGAAAACAACCAAAGUCAAAAUUUAAUCAAUACAGUACACAUUGAACGAAGAACCAGACACAAGUUGAACUAAAAUCUCCAAGGAACAAGAUAAAAUCCAUGUAAGAUAUACACACAGAGUGAGGAGACUUGUAUGUCAUAAUUGCACUCGAACAUUUUAGAGCUGAAGGGGCACCAACUGGUCGGGGAUUGACAAAUUGACAGGCAUUUUCUGUUGCAUUAAGUAAAGGAAGCAUUCCAGUUGUAAUGCCCUUUAUGCAUGAUUUAAUUAAAUAAUCAUUAAAAAAUUCAGAAUCUCAGAAUCUGAGCAAACAAGGAUGCCGAAGAUUGGAGGAAACAAAAAGGGGAAAGUGAAAUGGGUAUUCUUUUUGGAAGAAACAUGAGUUAUAAUGCAUUAUCCAACAAAAUCAAUUUCAGUGUCUAAAAGACUGCACUUAGCAACUAACAACAGUAAUGCUAAAAUGGGAGAAAAGGGAAUGUCAGCAAGCUGUCUAUAGUUUCUAUAAUUAUUUAGAAAUACAUUAAAAGGUGGUAGAACUGGUGGAUUAUGCAGCUUCCUUAGUCUAUUUCCAACCUAGCAAUAUAUUUGUCAUAUAAAAUCCUUGCUUUCUCAAGGUCUCCUAGCUCGGUGUAGUAGUCAGCAAUUGCUCCAUAAGCUUCUGUAUUUCUAGAGUCUUCUCCUUCUCGAUCAGAUAUUACUAAAACCAUUGAGUGGUAUUCAAUGGCUUCUUGAUAUUUGCCUUGCCUUUUCAACGGGGUACCUGAAAUCAAUCAAACUUAACUGUUAAAGUUUCUGCUACCCUUCAUGGAAAGGGAUCCCAGCUGUAGGAAAAAAAGUUUUUUGCAUCACUCCCCAGAAAGAAACACAUAAAUUAAUUAGCUGGUACAAGUUUUAAAGGCUUUACGAUUCAUCGUUUUAUGCUUUAGCACUGCCACUUGGUACAAAAAAGCGACAUGGGAUUUCCUUUGAAACCAAAUAUAAGAUUCAUAAUGAAGUCACUUCUCUGAGUAUCUAAUAGAUUGAUACACACAGAUCCAAGGGAAUUCCAUAAGGUAUCAUAAUCCUUAUCUCUCUUUGGCCACUUGGAUUGGCUUAAACCAUAAGCAUUUUACUAUACUAAAUUAGGAAUAGAGACUAGACAGGCAAAUAAAUGGAGAAGAUACAGACCUAAACCCCUGGCAGCUUUCUUCUCCUCGAUAAGAUCUUUUAGACUCUUAGCAAGCUCCAGUGCUGUCUUAAACUCUAGAAAAGCCUUCUCAAGUUCUUGAUUUCUUAAAAAGUUCUUCCUGUUCUCAACUCUUCCUUUCUUGGAUUGACAAUUACUUCAUUUUCUGAUAUUCUACCACCGAUGGGAACAAACUCAGGCUGGGAGCAUAUGACUCUAUCUUAGCCUGCCUUCUUAGAGUAACAUUGAUUUGGCGCAGCUGCUCAUUCACUCGCUGCAGCUCCUCUUUCCUCUGCCGUGCAAGCAAUCCUAAUGUGCAAAUUGUGGAUGAUCAAAAACAAAAAAAAUCCAACAUAAUGUAAAAUAAGGCUUUGAAAGUUCAUUUUCAUUAGUUAUAUAGACUGCUCAAAAUAGAUUCAUGUGUUUAAAAGUGGAAAUUGUGUAGUUAGACGUUUCAGUCACCCAUUUCAAAUUGGUAUUCCAACUGAAAACAGUUAUCUUAUUUCUAGGCUUCUGCACGAGACAAUUUUUCUAACAUUUUAAAUCGGCCAUUUAGAAUCUCUUUUCAGGAUAUGUUGGGAUAAAUCUAGUUAUAGGUAUUUUAGGAUAACAAUUUCUUCAAGCACAUCAAAUACAGUUUGAACAACGAAAAAUAUCAAUAGCUGGCUGUAUUUGAAUUGCUGUAUGUUCAUUUGAAAAGCACACAAAGUGGCAUGCCAUUAUGGAUCAGAACUAAAGAUGAGGCUAAGUAAAAAGAUACCUCCAACUAUGGCACCAAUAAGGGCUACAAAUAGCAGUAAAGGCCUGUUGAAAAAGGAGUUAUCAGCUUCACAAUUUCUUGAUUCUGCUAAUUGAAGACCAAAUAUUGGAGUUGGAAUCUGAUAAAGACGGAGACCUCAAACUCAAAGUGAAAUCAGUAUCUAUCUUAUAAAAUCAAACCAUGAUCUUAACCUUUUAACCUACUUGAAUUUUCUUUUGUCCUAACAGAUUUAAAAGCAUUCCAUAAGUGUUUCCCCUUCCUUAUUUUUUUUGCAUAGAGGAGCACAUAAAGAAUUAACUCCUCCAUGUCUAUUUUUCAUACAUAGGAGAUCAACAAAAUACAAUCAGGCAACGCAUACAACAUUAUUCAUCAUGAAUCAAGAAACGCAAAUGAGAGGAUAAAAAUAAGUAAUCCUACCAAACAAAGAAUUAGCGAUUUCAUCCAUUUUACAAAAUUAAGGGUGACUACAAAUCACCCAUCUUUGCUAAAAUCCAUUCUAGCAUUGUAGUAUAUGUCGAAACCGUUUUUUGAAAACAAAAAUUUAGUUGUCGACUUUUAAAAAUAAAAAAUUGGAGUUGCCACCGAUCCUUGAUUGGGGUGUGAUCGGCCCACCUUAAAAACAAUUUUGGUCUACGAAAUUUGAGAAAACAGGUCCGGGAGUCAGUUACGCACGAGGAAGGGUUAGCACCCUCGAAACGCCCAAAAUCGGUACCAAAUUGAUUAUUUAAUGUCUUGAGGUCGAAAAUUUGAAAGGAUUUUAAAAGAAAACUUUUUAUUUCAUGAAUGAAUCAAAAUAGUAAGACAUUUUUAUUUCAAAGAAAUAAAACACCACACCCAGUGAGUUAGGGCACAAUAUUUUUAAAUCUUCAAAAUACCCGAAUAUUGCCUUUUAAUUUUGAAAAUUCUUAUUUCGAGAUAAUAAAAUGUCAUGACCAGUAAGUUAGGACCCAACAUUUUGAAUUCCCGAGAAUAAACUUUUAUUUGAAAUUUGUGAAUUUAUUACAGAAUGAAUACUUGGCUUUCUAAAUUCAUCGAAAAAUUAAUCGCAAUCCAGUAAGUUAGGAUACGAUAUUUCUCGAGAAUUAUGAAUGCCAAAUAUUGAAAUUAUAAAUAUAGGUGGUUUAAGUACAAAAAUUUUGACAAAACCAAAAUNNNNNNNNNNNNNNNNNNNNNNNNNNNNNNNNNNNNNNNNNNNNNNNNNNNNNNNNNNNNNNNNNNNNNNNNNNNNNNNNNNNNNNNNNNNNNNNNNNNNCAAAAUAGAAAAAUAAAAUGUAUAAGUAUAUAUACAUAGGUAAAUCGUGAAAAUUCGCAUACGUAUAUAUUCAAAUACAUAUAUAUAUGUACAUAUAUUUGUAAAGAAAAUGAAAAAUGCUAUAAAAGCAUACGUAUAUAUAUAUUUAUAAAAGUAAAAAAAAAAAUUGAAACCAAAGUAUAGAAGCAUAUAUAUAUAUAGAAAUUAGGGAAUAAAAUUGAAAUAAAAACAUAUGAAUAAUAUAUAUAUAUAAAUAUAAAAUACGUAUACUACAAAAAAACAUAUGUAUAUUAUAUAAAAAAACUAUGCGUAUGUACAAAUAUAAAAAUAAUAAUAAUAAUAAUAAUGAUGGUAAUAAAUAAUAUAAGAAUAAUAAUAAAUGAUGGGAGUAAAUAAAUUUAAAAAAACAACAAAUUGCAAAAAAAAAAAAGGACCAAAUAGUUAGAAAAACUAAAAUAACUAGAAAUAAAUGAAAUUUGUGCAAAAUAAUGUGCCAAAUCGCGACAUGCGAAUUACAUGGAGGGCCAAAUCGGAAAUAAUCCGCCUCCCCAAAACGGUGUGCAGUGAUAUGGGCUGAAAUGAACAAAGGCAGAAACAUGCGGGCCAAAUUAGAAAAUAAACAAAAAUUGAUUUAAAAACAAUUUAAAAUUUGAAGGACCAAAUGCGCAAAUAGACCAUUUAAAGGAAAACGCGCGGAUCCUAGAACCGGGUCGGGUCGACGCGCGGAUUCCCCCUAAAACGGCGCCGUUUGAGCCUUACUAUUUAAAUUAGUUUUACCUUGUUGUUUUUUAAAAAAUUUGCAGAAAACACAAGCUAAAAGGAAAAAACUUUGAAGCUCUGCUAGGGUUUUUUUUUUAAAUUUUCUUUCUGCGUCGUCGUUCGUAGGCCUUUUGAACCGGAUCUCCGAUUGAUGCGGAGAUGGUAGCAAACGGCGGCCCGAACACAGAGGUAAACUCCUCUUCACUCUCUUCUCUUUAUAAAUCAACAAUAAACAUGAAAAAAAGAAUGAACGCCGGAAGAAAAAAAACCACCUUUAUAUUCAAAAAAAGUUUGUAUCUUUCUUUCUUUUUCUCUGUACUUUUUAGUGUUUCUAUGUGUAUUCCUUUACCGAAAAUCCCCUCUUUACAGAAUUUUCACGGCUUUAAAUAGCCGAAAUGGAAAAGAAAAAUAGAAUCAAAAGAAAUCUAUUCCGAUUUUUGCUCCUGUUUUGUUCCCUUUUCCUUGUUGUAUUAUUUGUGUUUGUUGUGCAGGUGCGGCGCGCAAGGCAUGGCGCUCGUGGAGGAGUGGCGCACGUGGAGGAGGCUGGCUCCGAAGCUUGCGGCGACUGGAGAGGGAGGCUCUUUAGGGUUUCUGUGUUUUUUUGUUUU
Molecule: long non-coding RNA, 5695 nt
Filed under: Gossypium raimondii (Peruvian cotton)
Lineage: Eukaryota; Viridiplantae; Streptophyta; Magnoliopsida; Malvales; Malvaceae
Description: long non-coding RNA (GRAI_LNC000160)
Source: RNAcentral